UACGAAGGGGGCAAGCGUUGUUCGGAAUUACUGGGCGUAAAGGGCGCGUAGGCGGCCUUCUAAGUCAGACGUGAAAUCCUGGAGCUCAACUCCAGAACUGCCUUUGAUACUGAAAGUCUUGAGUAUGGGAGAGGUGAGUGGAACUGCGAGUGUAGAGGUGAAAUUCGUAGAUAUUCGCAAGAACACCAGUGGCGAAGGCGGCUCACUGGCCCGAUACUGACGCUGAGGCACGAAAGCGUGGGGAGCAAACAGGG
RNAcentral lists this ribosomal RNA (254 nucleotides) under uncultured bacterium. RNAcentral describes it as "partial 16S ribosomal RNA". It matches the Rfam family "Bacterial small subunit ribosomal RNA", at positions 524 to 777 of the family's 1533-position model. The record is from RNAcentral.